GACGAACGCUGGCGGCACGCCUAACACAUGCAAGUCGAACGGACUUACAAGAGCUUGCUUUUUUAAGUUAGUGGCGGACGGGUGAGUAACACGUGAGCAACCUGCCUCUGAGAGGGGGAUAGCUUCUGGAAACGGAUGGUAAUACCCCAUAAAAUAUAAAUAUCGCAUGAUAGAUAUAUCAAAGAAAUUCGCUCAGAGAUGGGCUCGCGUCUGAUUAGAUAGUUGGUGAGGUAACGGCUCACCAAGUCGACGAUCAGUAGCCGGACUGAGAGGUUGUACGGCCACAUUGAGACUGAGACACGGCCCAGACUCCUACGGGAGGCAGCAGCGGGGAAUAUUGCACAAUGGAGGGAACUCUGAUGCAGCGAUGCCGCGUGGAGGAAGAAGGUUUUCGGAUUGUAAACUCCUUUUAUCAGGGACGAUAAUGACGGUACCUGAAGAAAAAGCUCCGGCUAACUACGUG
This 463-nucleotide ribosomal RNA is filed under the name uncultured bacterium. RNAcentral's name for it is "partial 16S ribosomal RNA". It matches the Rfam family "Bacterial small subunit ribosomal RNA", at positions 28 to 507 of the family's 1533-position model. The record is from RNAcentral.